This 389-nucleotide ribosomal RNA is filed under the name Spirochaetota bacterium. Its description in RNAcentral is "Spirochaetes bacterium (hot springs metagenome) partial 23S ribosomal RNA". It matches the Rfam family "Bacterial large subunit ribosomal RNA", at positions 2523 to 2925 of the family's 2925-position model. The record is from RNAcentral. Lineage: Bacteria; Pseudomonadati; Spirochaetota.
ACCUCGAUGUCGGCUCGUCACAUCCUGGGGCUGGAGAAGGUCCCAAGGGUUCGGCUGUUCGCCGAUUAAAGUGGCACGCGAGCUGGGUUCAGAACGUCGUGAGACAGUUCGGUCCCUAUCUGUGAUGGGCGUAGGAAGUUUGAGUGGACCUGACCUUAGUACGAGAGGACCGGGUUGGACCAACCUCUGGUGUAUCUGUUGUGCCGCCAGGUGCAGUGCAGAGUAGCCACGUUGGGACGAGAUAAGCGCUGAAAGCAUCUAAGCGCGAAACUCACCACAAGAUGAGACUUCCAUACAGGGACGUCAGAGACUAUGACGUUGAUAGGCUGCAAGUGUAAAGUCAGAAAUGACAUAGCUGAGCAGUACUAAUUACCCGAUAAUUUUCUUUG